AGGCCAUGGCCACCAUCGAUCGAUCUCCAUCCCUAGAGCAUCCCAAACCAAGCCCUUGCGCCAUCGGGUUUGCCUCGACGAGGCGAACUCAUUUUCCUAGUUUCCCCUUCCUUUCCCCUUCCGAAACCAACCAUCACAGUCACCUCCUCUUGUUACCGGAGCAAGCUCUUGCCGCCGCCGUUCCGGUCACCUCCCUAACGCUAUGUACCGGAAACUACCCUCCCUGAGUACGCGUUGCUUGGGAACACGUGUUGCCGCCGGUGUCACAGUCUUUCAUCCACCGGAGAGCCGGCGCCCCUCCUCUCCCUUCUCUCUGUUUGUUCGUGAUGAAAGAGAGAAGAAGCAAGAGGAAGGAGGAAUUAGAAGAAGAAGAGACAUAUGACAAAGGAAACGUGCUAACAAGGAGAUCAGAAGGAAGCGAGAUCUACGACAACGACUAGUUUUUCUAGGCUAGUCUACACUCGAGCUUUUGCCUGUGGAGUUCUUUGAAAUUCUUUGGAAUUUAUUAAUUGUAGUUCUAUUAGUUGAAGAAGUUUAGGAGUUUAGUACUUUGGAUUUUCUUGUAUUUCAAAUAAGGAUAUUUUAGUUUGGAUCUUUUCACCUUUUAACAGUAGUAUAAUUAGCUUGUAUGAACAAACCUGUGUAAAUAAUCGAAAGUUGUUCUGUAUAUCAAUCUGUACGUGAUUGAAAUCCUA
Molecule: non-coding RNA, 695 nt
Organism: Oryza sativa Japonica Group (Japanese rice)
Lineage: Eukaryota; Viridiplantae; Streptophyta; Magnoliopsida; Poales; Poaceae
Source: RefSeq, a predicted model, not a curated record